This 383-nucleotide ribosomal RNA is filed under the name uncultured eukaryote. Its description in RNAcentral is "partial 18S ribosomal RNA". It matches the Rfam family "Eukaryotic small subunit ribosomal RNA", at positions 592 to 976 of the family's 1831-position model. The record is from RNAcentral.
CAAUAGCGUAUAUUAAAGUUGUUGCAGUUAAAAAGCUCGUAGUUGGAUUUCUGGUGGGAGCGAUCGGUCUGGCGCUUAGCGCGAGUACUUGCAUCGUCUCCGGCCAUCCUUGGGGAGAGUCUGUCUGGCAUUAGGUUGUCGGGCAGAGGAUCCUCAUCGUUUACUGUGAAAAAAUUAGAGUGUUCAAAGCAGGCUUAUGCCGUUGAAUAUAUUAGCAUGGAAUAAUAAGAUAGGACUUUGGUACUAUUUUGUUGGUUUGCGCACCAAAGUAAUGAUUAAUAGGGACAGUUGGGGGUAUUCGUAUUCCGUUGUCAGAGGUGAAAUUCUUGGAUUUACGGAAGACGAACUACUGCGAAAGCAUUGACCAAGGAUGUUUUCAUUAA